GAUUAAGUUAUUAAGGGCGCACGGUGGAUGCCUUGGCACUAGAAGCCGAUGAAGGACGUUACUAACGACGAUAUGCUUUGGGGAGCUGUAAGUAAGCUUUGAUCCAGAGAUUUCCGAAUGGGGAAACCCAGCAUGAGUUAUGUCAUGUUAUCGAUAUGUGAAUACAUAGCAUAUCAGAAGGCACACCCGGAGAACUGAAACAUCUUAGUACCCGGAGGAAGAGAAAGAAAAUUCGAUUCCCUUAGUAGCGGCGAGCGAAACGGGAAGAGCCCAAACCAACAAGCUUGCUUGUUGGGGUUGUAGGACACUCUAUACGGAGUUACAAAGGACGACAUUAGACGAAUCAUCUGGAAAGAUGAAUCAAAGAAGGUAAUAAUCCUGUAGUCGAAAAUGUUGUCUCUCUUGAGUGGAUCCUGAGUACGACGGAGCACGUGAAAUUCCGUCGGAAUCUGGGAGGACCAUCUCCUAAGGCUAAAUACUCUCUAGUGACCGAUAGUGAACCAGUACCGUGAGGGAAAGGUGAAAAGCACCCCGGAAGGGGAGUGAAAUAGAACCUGAAACCGUGUGCUUACAAGUAGUCAGAGCCCGUUAAUGGGUGAUGGCGUGCCUUUUGUAGAAUGAACCGGCGAGUUACGAUUUGAUGCAAGGUUAAGCAGUAAAUGUGGAGCCGUAGCGAAAGCGAGUCUGAAUAGGGCGUUUAGUAUUUGGUCGUAGACCCGAAACCAGGUGAUCUACCCUUGGUCAGGUUGAAGUUCAGGUAACACUGAAUGGAGGACCGAACCGACUUACGUUGAAAAGUGAGCGGAUGAACUGAGGGUAGCGGAGAAAUUCCAAUCGAACCUGGAGAUAGCUGGUUCUCUCCGAAAUAGCUUUAGGGCUAGCCUCAAGUGAUGAUUAUUGGAGGUAGAGCACUGUUUGGACGAGGGGCCCCUCUCGGGUUACCGAAUUCAGACAAACUCCGAAUGCCAAUUAAUUUAACUUGGGAGUCAGAACAUGGGUGAUAAGGUCCGUGUUCGAAAGGGAAACAGCCCAGACCACCAGCUAAGGUCCCAAAAUAUAUGUUAAGUGGAAAAGGAUGUGGCGUUGCCCAGACAACUAGGAUGUUGGCUUAGAAGCAGCCAUCAUUUAAAGAGUGCGUAAUAGCUCACUAGUCGAGUGACACUGCGCCGAAAAUGUACCGGGGCUAAACAUAUUACCGAAGCUGUGGAUUGUCCUUUGGACAAUGGUAGGAGAGCGUUCUAAGGGCGUUGAAGCAUGAUCGUAAGGACAUGUGGAGCGCUUAGAAGUGAGAAUGCCGGUGUGAGUAGCGAAAGACGGGUGAGAAUCCCGUCCACCGAUUGACUAAGGUUUCCAGAGGAAGGCUCGUCCGCUCUGGGUUAGUCGGGUCCUAAGCUGAGGCCGACAGGCGUAGGCGAUGGAUAACAGGUUGAUAUUCCUGUACCACCUAUAAUCGUUUUAAUCGAUGGGGGGACGCAGUAGGAUAGGCGAAGCGUGCGAUUGGAUUGCACGUCUAAGCAGUAAGGCUGAGUAUUAGGCAAAUCCGGUACUCGUUAAGGCUGAGCUGUGAUGGGGAGAAGACAUUGUGUCUUCGAGUCGUUGAUUUCACACUGCCGAGAAAAGCCUCUAGAUAGAAAAUAGGUGCCCGUACCGCAAACCGACACAGGUAGUCAAGAUGAGAAUUCUAAGGUGAGCGAGCGAACUCUCGUUAAGGAACUCGGCAAAAUGACCCCGUAACUUCGGGAGAAGGGGUGCUCUUUAGGGUUAACGCCCAGAAGAGCCGCAGUGAAUAGGCCCAAGCGACUGUUUAUCAAAAACACAGGUCUCUGCUAAACCGUAAGGUGAUGUAUAGGGGCUGACGCCUGCCCGGUGCUGGAAGGUUAAGAGGAGUGGUUAGCUUCUGCGAAGCUACGAAUCGAAGCCCCAGUAAACGGCGGCCGUAACUAUAACGGUCCUAAGGUAGCGAAAUUCCUUGUCGGGUAAGUUCCGACCCGCACGAAAGGCGUAACGAUUUGGGCACUGUCUCAACGAGAGACUCGGUGAAAUCAUAGUACCUGUGAAGAUGCAGGUUACCCGCGACAGGACGGAAAGACCCCGUGGAGCUUUACUGUAGCCUGAUAUUGAAAUUCGGCACAGCUUGUACAGGAUAGGUAGGAGCCUUUGAAACGUGAGCGCUAGCUUACGUGGAGGCGCUGGUGGGAUACUACCCUAGCUGUGUUGGCUUUCUAACCCGCACCACUUAUCGUGGUGGGAGACAGUGUCAGGCGGGCAGUUUGACUGGGGCGGUCGCCUCCUAAAAGGUAACGGAGGCGCUCAAAGGUUCCCUCAGAAUGGUUGGAAAUCAUUCAUAGAGUGUAAAGGCAUAAGGGAGCUUGACUGCGAGACCUACAAGUCGAGCAGGGUCGAAAGACGGACUUAGUGAUCCGGUGGUUCCGCAUGGAAGGGCCAUCGCUCAACGGAUAAAAGCUACCCCGGGGAUAACAGGCUUAUCUCCCCCAAGAGUUCACAUCGACGGGGAGGUUUGGCACCUCGAUGUCGGCUCAUCGCAUCCUGGGGCUGUAGUCGGUCCCAAGGGUUGGGCUGUUCGCCCAUUAAAGCGGUACGCGAGCUGGGUUCAGAACGUCGUGAGACAGUUCGGUCCCUAUCCGUCGUGGGUGUAGGAAAUUUGAGAGGAGCUGUCCUUAGUACGAGAGGACCGGGAUGGACAUACCUCUGGUGUACCAGUUGUCGUGCCAACGGCAUAGCUGGGUAGCUAUGUGUGGACGGGAUAAGUGCUGAAAGCAUCUAAGCAUGAAGCCCCCCUCAAGAUGAGAUUUCCCAACUUCGGUUAUAAGAUC
RNAcentral lists this ribosomal RNA (2834 nucleotides) under Staphylococcus aureus. Its description in RNAcentral is "bacterial LSU rRNA". It matches the Rfam family "Bacterial large subunit ribosomal RNA". The record is from RNAcentral. Lineage: Bacteria; Bacillati; Bacillota; Bacilli; Caryophanales; Staphylococcaceae.